RNAcentral lists this unclassified non-coding RNA (205 nucleotides) under Ascomycota sp. RNAcentral describes it as "partial contains small subunit ribosomal RNA, internal transcribed spacer 1, and 5.8S ribosomal RNA". The stretch from base 1 to 47 matches the Rfam family "Eukaryotic small subunit ribosomal RNA", at positions 1785 to 1831 of the family's 1831-position model. Lineage: Eukaryota; Fungi; Ascomycota. The record is from RNAcentral.
AAAGUCGUAACAAGGUCUCCGUAGGUGAACCUGCGGAGGGAUCAUUAACGAAUGGUCUCUUUUUGACCGUCCACCUUCAAAACCUGUGGAAGCAAGAUGUGCUUCGGCGACCCCCUCCGGGGUCUGCCGCAUUUAUGCUGUCUAGUGUUUGUGUCUGAAUAGAAUCUAAAAAUCAAAACUUUCAACAAAGGAUCUCUUGGCUCUC